ACAAACGACCAUACGCACUGGGAAAAACUCGGGAUCCCGUCUGCUCUCCCCUACCUAGAUAAGCCAGUGAGGGCCAGGUUAGUAGUCGGAUUGGUGACGGCCGGCGAAAACCCCGGUGGUGUAUGUC
This 127-nucleotide ribosomal RNA is filed under the name Sordaria macrospora k-hell. The record is from RNAcentral. Lineage: Eukaryota; Fungi; Ascomycota; Sordariomycetes; Sordariales; Sordariaceae.